CUAAGCCCCAGAGGGAAGGGGCUCAGAGGAGAUAUCUGAAGCCGCUGGGAGCUAGUCCCCAGGAAGGGGACCUCUCCCGUGGGAGGGAGGGUGAGGGGAAGUGUGGAAGGAGAGAGUGAUAGUGUGGAGAGAGAAAUGAGAUGGAAUCGGGGCGUAUUUUCAUCUUCCCAAGCUGCCCUCAAGCUCCGCAUUAAACCGUGAUCCCUAAAACUGGGCCAAGGGGGAUUUUUCUAUCCUCCGCGUUUGCCAAGUCGGAUUCUCUAGACCUCCUUCUUCGCCAAUGCCCAGUGACCAGAGGGAAGGCCUUAUUGUGGGAAAUGAUGAUCUGGAGGAUUUCUAUAUGAACAGGAAGAACCUUCAUGAAUUGAUGCAGAGUGAAAUGAGCAGAACCAAGAGAACAUUGUACACAGAAAAUGAAACAUUGUGGACCGAUCAAAUGCAAUAGACUCUGCUGUUAACAGAACAAUCCAGAGGGACUUUUAGGAAAGAACGCUAUCCACAUCCAGAGGAAGAACUGUGGGAGUAGAAAUUCAGAAGAAAAAACAUGAUUGAUUGAUCACGCAGUUCGAUGGAUAUAUGAUUGGUUUUAAAAGAUCACUAUUACAAAUAUGAAUAAUAUGGAAAUGGGGUUUGAGCAAUAAUACAUGUAUAACCCAGUGGAAUUGCUUGUCCGCUCCAGGAGGGAGGAGGAAAGAGGGGAGGGAGGGGACAUGAAACAUGUAACCAUGGAAAAAUAUUCUAAAUAAAUAAAAUUUUAAAAAUAAAAAAUAAAUAAAAGCCCUA
Long non-coding RNA from Monodelphis domestica (gray short-tailed opossum), 783 nucleotides. RefSeq lists it as uncharacterized. NCBI's taxonomy places the organism in Eukaryota, Metazoa, Chordata, Mammalia, Didelphimorphia, Didelphidae. The record is from RefSeq and is a predicted model, not a curated record.